This 2735-nucleotide ribosomal RNA is filed under the name fermentation metagenome. Its description in RNAcentral is "bacterial LSU rRNA". It matches the Rfam family "Archaeal large subunit ribosomal RNA". The record is from RNAcentral.
AUGCCUACCAGUGGAUGGCUCGGUUCGAGUGCCGAAGAAGGGCGUGCCAAGCUGCGAUAAGCUCCGGGAAGACGCAGGGAGUCUACGAUCCGGAGAUCCCCUAAUGGGACAUCCCAGCACUUCGGUGUUGAUCCGUAAGGAUCGGGAACCCCCCGAAUUGAAACAUCUUAGUAGGGGGAGGAAAAGAAAUCAACCGAGAUGUCGUUAGUAGAGGCGAUCGAACACGACGAAGUUCAAACUGAAUCCCCUCACGGGGAGAUGUGGUGUAGUAAGCCUACCGUCUGGAUACCAAGGUUAAGCGGAAAUCCUCUGGAAUGUGGUACUAGAGAGGGUGAUAGUCCCGUACGUGUAAGCCAAGGUGUCCUGGUAGUGUCUUGAGUACUGCGGGUCGGAAUUCUCGCGGGAAUCUGGGAGUCAUCAACUUCCAAAACUAAAUACUACUCGAAACCGAUAGCGCAUUAGUAGCGUGAGCGAAGGCUGAAAAGUAACCCGUGAAAGGUGGUUAAAAGUGCCUGAAACUGGUAGGUGAUGGUGAGUUACGGCGCGAAAGGAUCUUCCACGUGAAGGAACCCGUCGCGAGGCGGUAGUACGGGCGUGGUUGCCGGUGUCGUAACCUACGUUUUGAAGAACGGGCCAGAGAGUUUAUUCUGCAGGCGAAGGUUAACCCAAAAGGGGAGCCGAAGGGAAACCAAUAGGUCCGUAGCCUUCGGGUGUGGGACGACGUAUUAAAAGUGCGUGGAGUCUGCAGGAUAAGACCCGAAGCCUAGCGAUCUAUGCGUGGGCAGGUUGAAGCGUGCCGAAAGGCGCGUGGAGGACCGCAAGCGGUUUUGAUAUGCAAAUCAUUCGCGUGACCUGCGUAUAGGAGUGAAAGAUUAAUCGAGCUGGGCAUCUGCUGGUUCCUCUCGAAACAUGCCGCAGCAUGACCUGGCCGGAGAUAGACGGUGAGGUAGAGCACUGAUUGGGGGAGCUGGGGGAGAAAUCCCUCACCCUCCUGUCAAACUCCAAAUUCCCCGUCGUCGAAGAUGGCUGGUAGUCCGGACUACGGGGUAAGCUUGUAGUCCGUAAGGGAGACAACCCAGACCGUGGUUAAUGUCCCUCAAUGUAGGCUAAGUGUCAACACUGAAAGGCGUCCCAGGCCAAAGACAACUGGAAGGUGAGCUCAGAAGCAGCUAUCCUUUAAAAAGUGCGUAACAGCUUACCAGUCGAGGUUUGGGGCACUGAAAAUGGACGGGGCUAAAGCCUACUACAGAUACCACGGACCACACGUUUGUGUGAUGGCGUAGAGAGGCGUGCUGCCUGGGCUGAAGCAGGGGCGUGAGCUCCUGUGGACCGGGUAGUAAUGAGAAUUCUGGCAUUAGUAGAAGCAAAGUUGGGUGAGAAUCCCAACCGCCGGAGGGGCUAGGUUUCCUCGGCAAUGUUCGUCAGCCGAGGGUUAGUCGGUCCUAAGGUGUGUCGUAAUCCGAACACAUCAACAGGGAAACAGGUUAAUAUUCCUGUACCAUUCAUCCGUAGCGUUAAUUCGCCCUGACGCUUCGGGAUAUGCCGGGCAGGGUCGUCGCCCUGUCCAAGCGUUCAAGCUCGUGGAGUACCGCCAUGGUGAGAAGCGAGUGAAGGCGUGAUGGAGUAAUUCGGCAAAUUCCUGGAGCCCGUGAAAAGGGGGAUGAAUGUCCGUACCGAGAUCUGACACAGGUGCCCCUAGCUGAAAAGGCUAAGGCGUGUCGGUGUAAUCGUGUUAAGGGAACUCGGCAAAUUGGCCCCGUAACUUUGGGAGAAGGGGUGCCUGCCUGGCGAUCAGGCAGGUCGCAGUGACCAGGGGGCUCUGACUGUCUAAUAACAACAUAGGUGACUGCAACUCGGAAACGACUAGUAUAGUCACUGAUUCCUGCCCAGUGCGAGUAUCUGAACACCGGGUUCAACCGGACGAAGGACUCGUAAACGGCGGGGGUAACUAUGACCCUCUUAAGGUAGCGUAGUACCUUGUCGCUUAAUUGGCGACUUGCAUGAAUGGAUUAAUGAGAGUCCUACUGUCCCUAACUGGAAUCCGGUGAAGCUUACAUUCUAGUGCACAGUCUAGAGACCUCUAGGGGGAAGUGAAGACCCCGUGGAGCUUUACUGCAGCCUGUCGUUGGGUUGUGGUUCUGGAUGUACAGAGUAGGUAGGAGGCGUCGAAGCAGGUGCGCCAGCAUCUGUGGAGCCGCAAUUGGGACACUACCCUUCCGGGACUACGACCCUAACUCUGCGAAGAGGACCCCGAUAGGUGGGCAGUUUGCCUGGGGCGGGACGCCCUUGAAAAGAUAUCAAGGGCGCGCAAUGGUUGACUCAAGCGGGUCGGAAACUCGCUGAAGAGUGUAAGAGCAUAAGUCAGCCUGACGUUAUUCAGCACAGCAGUGAAUGACGAGACGAAAGUCGGCUCUAGCGAACUUUUGAGCCUCCUUGGUGGGGGCCAAAAAUGACAGAAAAGUUACCCCGGGGAUAAUUGAGUCGUUGCCGGCAAGAGUACAUAUCGACCCGGCAGCUUGCUACCUCGAUGUCGGUUCUUUCCAUCCUGGCCGUGCAGCAGCGGCCAAGGGUGAGGUUGUUCGCCUAUUAAAGGGGAUCGUGAGCUGGGUUUAGACCGUCGUGAGACAGGUCGGUUACUAUCUAUCUGGAGUGUAAGGAGUCUGAAGGUAAGAUGGAAAUAGUACGAGAGGAACUUUCCGUCGUCGCCUCUGGUCGAUCGGUUGUCCGACAGGGCA